GACGAAGGAUGCAAGCGUUAUCCGGAUUCAUUGGGUUUAAAGGGUGCGUAGGCGGCUUAGUAAGUCAGUGGUGAAAUCUCCAGGCUUAACUUGGAAAUUGCCAUUGAUACUGCAAAGCUUGAGUACAGAUGAUGUUGGCGGAAUGUGUCAUGUAGCGGUGAAAUGCAUAGAUAUGACACAGAACACCGAUUGCGAAGGCAGCUGACAAAACUGUAACUGACGCUGAGGCACGAAAGUGCGGGGAUCAAACAGG
RNAcentral lists this ribosomal RNA (253 nucleotides) under uncultured bacterium. RNAcentral's name for it is "partial 16S ribosomal RNA". It matches the Rfam family "Bacterial small subunit ribosomal RNA", at positions 524 to 776 of the family's 1533-position model. The record is from RNAcentral.